AGGACGAACGCUGGCGGCGUGCUUAACACAUGCAAGUCGAGCGAGGCCUUCCCUUCGGGGGAGUGCCCUAGCGGCGAACGGGUGAGUAACACGUGGGCAACCUGCCCCUAGCACUGGGAUAACUCCGGGAAACCGGGGCUAAUACCGGAUAUGACCUUUGAGGGCAUCCUCUUUGGUGUAAAGGAUUCUGGCUAGGGAUGGGCCCGCGGCCUAUCAGCUUGUUGGUGGGGUAAUGGCCUACCAAGGCGACGACGGGUAGCCGGCCUGAGAGGGCGACCGGCCACACUGGGACUGAGACACGGCCCAGACUCCUACGGGAGGCAGCAGUGGGGAAUAUUGCACAAUGGGCGAAAGCCUGAUGCAGCGACGCCGCGUGAGGGAUGACGGCCUUCGGGUUGUAAACCUCUUCAGCUCCGACGAAGCGAAGUGACGGUAGGAGCAGAAGAAGCACCGGCCAACUACGUGCCAGCAGCCGC
Molecule: ribosomal RNA, 476 nt
Filed under: uncultured bacterium
Lineage: Bacteria
Description: SSU rRNA
Rfam family: Bacterial small subunit ribosomal RNA
Source: RNAcentral